This 396-nucleotide long non-coding RNA is filed under the name Zonotrichia albicollis (white-throated sparrow). Its description in RNAcentral is "lncRNA (ENSZALG00000004090.1)". The record is from RNAcentral. Lineage: Eukaryota; Metazoa; Chordata; Aves; Passeriformes; Passerellidae.
UGUAAGUUGAAUUAAGGCUUUCACUGUUUCUUUCAGGGUGAUGUUUAGACUGAUACUGAGUUCUAUAUUGAGAUAUUGCACUGCUGGGUACUGAACUGCUGUUGGAUAUCCUGCACUGUUUUAUGAAGAAUUUAUUCAAGUUAGUGACUUCUCCUGAUAACUGAACAUCAAAUAACUACUCCUCCUUCUUCUUAGUGCUCCAUGGAAAAAUACAGCAAUUUCUCUGUUUUUGCCCUAAAAAUGAAAUGUUGAACCUAAAAAGGAAAUGCUUCUUCUGCCAGCACUCCCAGUUUGCUGAUCUCGUGUGAGAGCACAGAAGGCCAUAAAGAACUACUGGUGUCAAUGAAAAGCACAGGACAAGAAAAUCACUGCUACUGUAUGAAAAAAAUCCAUAUU